AACUUCAAACUUGACAGAAACAGAAGUCAGAACGAAAGAUUGGUAUUGGAGUAUUGAAUGAACUAUGAAGAUUGAACUUGUGCCUACUGCCUCUAUCUUUAUCUGCAACGCGUGAUUUCAGAUUUCAGAUUUACCUUAUCGGCAUUAGUGUACGAAAAGAAAACCCAUCUAUAGAUAAUGAACCGUCCUACAUAUUUGCACGAAGUGUAGACAAUUCAUCAGACGGAUAAUUGGAAUGAAUUGCUGAGAUAACAUAACGGAUUUCACACAUCCUUCUGGUCCAUAGAUUGACUAAUUGUAUGGGUUUUUCUUUCUACUCGUAUUUGACAAGAUUAAGCGAAGACAGAAGAAAUGAAGAUGAUCCUUGAAACAUGAAAGAAAUAAAUUCGUAAAUAUUUUCGUAACUGGCUUACCUACGCAUAGUACGACUCGUAUAAAACCGCAGCGCAGCGCACCGAAUUUCAUUGACCACCGCAGCAGUCCACCAUCCACCAUCCACCACCGAUAAAACAGCGGUAGUUAACCGAAUUAAGCGUAAUUAAAAAACCAUUACACUAGAGAAUAAAGAUUCGCGCACGUUGAAUUGAAUGUUGACAAUGAAUGAACGAGUCGAGUCGAGUCGAAAAAUGAAAAGCCAGUGUGGUCUGGUCUGUGCUUGUGUGCUGUUUACGGCGCCUGUCGACGAUAUCGCACGCGAUUACAUACACAUGUGAUACAAAUUCUAGGAAAAAAUAAUCUCUAUGGGAAGACGAAGAAAUGGCGAAAUGAGUAAUACGAGAACCUGAGCAGAUCAGUUCGGAAAAUACAACGUAUUAAUUGGGAAAAUAUUCGUGAAAGUGCAGGCAGAUGAGAAGAAGUCGAGGAAAAUGACUAAUCGAGGUAUCUGGCCAUCUUUUCGAAACGAAUAUUUACGAAUUGCAGAUAAAUUCUCGAUGCGAUGCUGAUGACGAAUAAAAACAUAUGUGAGCUACGAUAAGAAGAUGAAUCAAUCGAUAGACUAUCAAUGUUCUGCAGCCUCCUACAAUGUAUCGCCAACCACCGGAAAACAUCUCUUCAGGGGCAUAUCGCGACCUAGCUGAAGCCACCAUUCAACCAAAAUAAUACUGCAUAGACUAUUUAAUUGCCGGAAAAAUAUCGUAGAGCGUGAAAGAAGCGGUCAAAUGGAUUGAAAAAUAACCUCGAUGAGAACUUUUCGCAAUGCUGAGUUCGGUGAGACGAAUUUUCAUCGGUUUUCGAGUUCCUUUCCUGAAGAGAGCUGCUGCUAUUGUUUUACCACAAAACCGACGCUAUGCUAUCCUUAUCCUUUGACCGGCUACUUGAAUUUUUCGAAAUGCUGCGUUCGGUGACAUGAAUUAUAGAAGUUUGUAUGGGUUAUCAAGUUAAUUCUUCGAAGAGAGGUUCCACUAUUGUUCUACCAGGGACUGGCGCUAUUAUGCAACUUACAGCUGGCUUAUUAUGAUGUCGCGAUCAAUUGAAUAUAUGAAAUGUGUUAUUGGCAACGUCGCAGUUCGAUAAAUUUUCGGGUAACGCGCAUGCGUACGUGAGAAUUUGCUUGGAUACAACAGCAGAUAUGUACUACGAUCCAGAUGUAUUAUUGGCAACGUUGCAGUUUGGCUUUUUCCCUGAUGAUUUUGCAUGAAGAGAUGCUGUUUUCGAUGCAGUCAAAAUUACUACGAUAAAAGCAGCGUUGUGAGCCGGUUUUGGUAUAACGCAGUUGCCAUUCACAAUUAGGCUGCAGCGCUACCAAGGGCAACUGGGUUACCAUUUCUGUUUCCCUCAGCCUGAAGUUGGAUAUUUUAUGAAAUGAUUUUAUGAUAGAAAUGCAAAUUGUUUUGAUGUUUGAAAGCACUCCAACACUACAGUGCAAAUUCAGUAGAAAGAGAUGGCAACUGUAUGAAGGUAGCAGAAAUUUUGGAAUCAUCUUGAAAGUUUGGACAUCUCAUCCUGCUGAUUGCCAAACAAUCUUACUACAAACAUCAUUCCAUCACUUGUCAUCACCAGAGAUCACCACAGGCACCGCAUUAGCAGCAGCAGCAGCAACAUCCUCAUCGAGUUUGAGCACUGGGCCAGUUGUAGUAACCUUCUUAAUCGUCAUUGUUCAUCGCUGCUAUUUCGUUUACCUAUCUAUUAUGAUAUUUCCCAUCGUCGCCGCAUCAAUCAGCUCCGCAAGAUACCAGCACUGCAUCAGAUUCACUCUGUUCAUCAUCUGAAUUUCGCAGUCUGAAUUGUAAUCUUCAUCAUUUCAUCUGGGAUCAGCAUUGGUGUUGGAAACAAGGUAGGUGAUGAUCUUUUGCAAUCCCCCCUCUCCCCUCAAGAAUCUUUGUUCAAUAUUUUUGCUUGUGCAAUCUUAUGUGGUACCUGAUCAUUGUGCCUAUUUAAAUACAGCCAGCUUUUACUUUUCGACCUCAUGGCUCAAAUGCAACACAUGUUGGCUGGUUACUGCUAAUUGAUUCAUUUUUUUCAUUCCUGACCUGGAUAAUAUGGAGUAGUACAUAAUUAUGAUUAUUGAAGAGUGAGGUAUGUUUUAUAGAGGUUUAGUUUAGCGGUAGCAUGAACUGAUUGAAUUUGCUAGUUUAAUCACAGCCAUAUUCCAUAUUACGAGUUGCAGAUCAAAACAAACUUUUUUUCAAAGGAGAGAUGUUUGAAUGUAGCGCUGGUGGAGAGUUUAUUUGUAUGCAGAUAGAGAUGUUUUGAGGUGCGCUGGUGGUGAGUGUUGUAUAGGGGAUGCAGUUGUGGCCGGUCUUGUUAAGUUCUGUCCCAUGCUCGCCUGUUAAGCAUCAACCCACAACUGUACAUUUUCCAUUGCGAUUUUUUGAAAAUUUAUCUUCUGUUAGCUUCUAGGUUAAGAAAACGCAUCCGCGGGUACGGGCUCUCGCCCAAGGAUCCGUCAGGUCGGGGGCCUGCUCGGUGGGCCGCGCUGGCAGAAAACUGUACGGAGUCCAGGGGCCGAUGAUAUUCGUUGAAUUGAGGGAAACCUGGCCUCACUCCAACGAGGGGUAGUCGUAAUAGGCUGGUACAGGAAGUAACGUUUGCGUUUCCGUCUAGCGGUUAUAGUCUGACUGUUUCUGCGACCUUAGUUCCGGUUUAUCAAAGAUGGAGCAGGGAUGGUUAAUGUUACCCUCAGAAUCGUGAUAUUGGCCAUUCUUGCCGUCGAGGAUGACCUGCCUCGGUUGGUUCAUCAGAUCUGCCUGCGAACCAACCGCACGCACGGUAAGUGGUGCACUCUAGGUUUUGCAUACACUUGCUUGCGUGAAAUGUGAGUUGAGUUUUUUUGAGAGAAAUUUGAAAUUUCAAAAGGCUGACCUGGUUUUGUUGCUUCGGUCAACUUGCCAGGCAGGUGAGCGUGUGUGAAAAGGUGUAUGGUGAUCUGGAUUGCGUUUUAGCGAUAUUUGGCUGCGAAUAAACUUGCAAAUUUUUCUGUCGUGAUUCAUGUAGUAAGUAAGUACAUAAAACAUUGGAAGAUUUGAAAAAUAAGGAGAAUUUGUUGGAAACAUCUAUUUCUUUAGUUAGGGUCAUUUUUCACAAAGGUAGGUGAUAAUUAUUCAUACAAUUAUAUCGAAGAGUUAUAGUUUUCAAUCCCCCCCCCCGGGGGGCCCGCUAGUAAUCCUCUUCACACGAUUGCUCAUAAGUUCAUUUUUUUAUGUUUAUGAUAAUAUUUGUAAGAUGUGAAAGCUAAUUUACAUCGUGUCUUUUACGUAUGUAUUUGUGAAAUUAUUAUUUUCAAGUACAUGUUAAUUUUCAUUCCCCUCCUUCCCUUAUUCGUGUGACCCCUCAGGACAAUAAUCUUGUAUUUUUUAAGAUUGUUAAUUGUUUAAUUUUUACACUUGUUUUUAUUUAUUAUUAAAAAAAUAAUCGAUGUUAAAAUUGUUGCUUCUAUUACUGAUAUUGUAAGUUGAUUAUAUUUUCAUUUUUUCUAUCUAUUUGUUUGUAUUUUUUGUGCUUUUUUUGAUUUUUGAUUUUUUUUUGUAUGUAGGUAGGUAUCAUGUUAAUUUUCAAUUUUUCAUGUUUUUAUGAUGUUUUCAUUGUUUUUGUAAGCUUAUUUUGUGAAUUGUGAUCGAUAUUGUACAUAUCAUUGAGCAUGCAACUUUUGAUUUGAUUAGUUAGAUGUGUGGUUGUGUUGUGUUU
Long non-coding RNA from Planococcus citri (citrus mealybug), 4125 nucleotides. RefSeq lists it as uncharacterized. The transcript has 13 exons. The record is from RefSeq and is a predicted model, not a curated record. NCBI's taxonomy places the organism in Eukaryota, Metazoa, Arthropoda, Insecta, Hemiptera, Pseudococcidae.